AGUAACUGCGAGUGAAGCGGGAAAAGCUCAAAUUUAAAAUCUGGCGGACUUUGUCUGUCUGAGUUGUAACCUAGAGAAGUGUAACCUGUGCUGGACCAUGUACAAGUCUCCUGGAAUGGAGCAUCAUAGAGGGUGAGAAUCCCGUCUUUGACAUGGACUACCAGUAUACUGUGGUUGCACACUCAACGAGUCGAGUUGUUUGGGAAUGCAGCUCUAAAUGGGUGGUAAAUUCCAUCUAAAGCUAAAUAUUGGCGAGAGACCGAUAGUGAACAAGUACCGUGAGGGAAAGAUGAAAAGAACUUUGGAAAGAGAGUUAAACAGUAUGUGAAAUUGUUGAAAGGGAAACGCUUGAAGUCAGCUGCGUUGGCUGGGGAUCAAGCCAGCUUAUUUGCUGGGUGUAUUUCCUGGUUGACGGGUCAACAUCAGUUUUGACCAUCAGAGAAAGGCAGAGGGAAUGUGGCACCUUUUAGGUGUGUUAUAGCCCUUUGUUGUAUGUGGUGGUUGGGACUGAGGACAGCAGCGUGCCAUAUGGCUGGGUUUAGACCACGUUCACGCUUUGGAUGUUGGCAUAAUGGCUUUAAGCGACCCGUCUUGAAACACGGACCAAGGAGUCUAACAUGCAUGCAAGUGUUUGGGUGGAAAACCCGAGUGCGUAAUGAAAGUGAAAGUUGAGAUCCCUGUCACGGGGGAGCAUCGACGCCCGGACCAGAACUUUUGGGACGGAUCUGCGGUAGAGCAAGCAUGUUGGGACCCGAAAGAUGGUGAACUAUGCCUGAAUAGGGUGAAGCCAGAGGAAACUCUGGUGGAGGCUCGUAGCGAUUCUGACGUGCAAAUCGAUCGUCGAAUUUGGGUAU
RNAcentral lists this ribosomal RNA (854 nucleotides) under Amanita sp. 9 ZLY-2014. RNAcentral describes it as "eukaryotic LSU rRNA". It matches the Rfam family "Eukaryotic large subunit ribosomal RNA", at positions 82 to 918 of the family's 3401-position model. The record is from RNAcentral. Lineage: Eukaryota; Fungi; Basidiomycota; Agaricomycetes; Agaricales; Amanitaceae.